Molecule: long non-coding RNA, 601 nt
Filed under: Homo sapiens (human)
Lineage: Eukaryota; Metazoa; Chordata; Mammalia; Primates; Hominidae
Description: HSALNT0346052
Source: RNAcentral
ACAUUUCCCAGUUGACUACUACCGGUAAUAAAAUCAAAUGGAUUCAGUGCUCACAACUCUUCAGUCUUUGGGCUACUUUCCAUUCUUGAAUUUUUAGCUGAAUUCAUCUCUUUGGCUGGAUUUUGUGAAUCGGGCAGCCAUUAGAACCAAAACAGUUCUGAGGAGCUCCCAGGCUGCAAUGUGGUGCGAAAUGUUUUAUGGACAGAAAAUGGAAAUGAGGUGCAGAAAUUGGAGAUGAAAUUUCAGUCUUUAUUCAAGAUCAAGUGCAACUGUCUCUUUGAGGAAAGUCCUUUGACCGCCAUUUCUCCCCUUCAGAAGGCAAACACCUGGGGGAGAAGAUCUGCUUAAGGACCUGGUAACUGACAAAGAAUGGAAUGGGAGCGAGAACCGCCUAGCCAUCCCUUCUCCUUGCACAGUCAUGAAACAAAAGUUGAAAAGGAGCCUGGUUUUACUUGACCAGUCAUAAAUUACCAUAAAAUAAAAUGAGAUAUUAGGAACCUUUGAUCUCUGAAAAAGUAAUAUGUGUUGAAAAGAAAUAUCACUGUUACAUAUAGACAAAUAAUAGAAAUAUUUGAGGCAUGCAUUUAAAAUGUAGAGGCCA